This 492-nucleotide ribosomal RNA is filed under the name uncultured bacterium. RNAcentral's name for it is "bacterial SSU rRNA". It matches the Rfam family "Bacterial small subunit ribosomal RNA", at positions 32 to 509 of the family's 1533-position model. The record is from RNAcentral.
AAUCAACGCUGGCGGCGUGCCCUCAGACAUGCAAGUCGAACGAUUAAAGCUCUCUUCGGAGAGUGCAUAAAGUGGCGCACGGGUGAGUAACACGUAAGUAAUCUACCUUUGAGUGGGGAAUAACAGUCGGAAACGGCUGCUAAUACCGCAUAAUGCAGCGGCACCGCAAGGUGACAGUUGUUAAAGGAGCAAUCCGCUUAAAGAGGAGCCUGCGGCAGAUUAGCUUGUUGGUAGGGUAAUGGCCUACCAAGGCGACGAUCUGUAGCCGGCCUGAGAGGGCGGUCGGCCACACUGACACUGAAUAACGGGUCAGACUCCUACGGGAGGCAGCAGUCGGGAAUUUUGGGCAAUGGGCGAAAGCCUGACCCAGCAACGCCGCGUGAAGGAUGAAAUUUUUCGGAAUGUAAACUUCGCAAGAAUGGGAAGAAUAAGUUCAGGCUAAUACCCUGAAUGAUGACGGUACCAUUUGUAAGCUCCGGCUAACUCCGUGCC